CCGCCAGGGAAUUACGAGCAAUGCUUAAAACCCAAAGGAUUUGACGGUGUCCCACCCCACUAGAGGAGCCUGUUCUAUAAUCGAUGAUCCCCGCUUCACCUAACCAUGCCUCGCUUAUCAGUCUGUAUACCUCCGUCGAAAGCCUACCAUGUGAACGUCCGCAGUAGGCUCAAUGAUUCACCAUCAACACGUCAGGUCAAGGUGCAGCUCAAGGAAUGGAAAGCAAUGGGCUACAAUUUCUAACUUAGAACAAACGAAAGACUAUGUGAAAUCCUAGUCAUGAAGGUGGAUUUAGUAGUAAAAAGAAACUAGAGUGUUCUUUUUAACCCGGCUCUGGGACGCGUACACACCGCCCGUCACCCUCUUCGAUAGUACCUUAUUUGUUCCUAACCAAACAUCACAUUUUAGAAGAGGCAAGUCGUAACAUGGUAAGUGUACUGGAAAGUGCACUUGGUAUACUA
Molecule: ribosomal RNA, 461 nt
Filed under: Rana johnsi (John's groove-toed frog)
Lineage: Eukaryota; Metazoa; Chordata; Amphibia; Anura; Ranidae
Description: partial 12S ribosomal RNA
Rfam family: Bacterial small subunit ribosomal RNA
Source: RNAcentral